UGAAGUUAUUUGGAUUUUUACGAAUUAUCUUUGAAAGACAGGGUCCUGAAUAAGCGAGGUUUCUCUUCUUUUUUUUUGCUGAGUUUAGUUUAUACAAUAAUGAAAUACAUGGCAAAAGUCAAGAAAAGUCAUUGCAACUUGUCCACACUGCAAACAUAUUUCAAAACAUAUUUACGAAGAAGUCAUGCACAUUGCUUUGAAACAGUGUCCAAGGAAACAUUUUUGGCAUGUGAGUGCAUUGAUGUGAGAAAUGGUGUGUUUGCAGUCAAAUACAUUUUCUGGUCCAGCAAAACCCAUACAUGUUCCAACUUUGUUCAAAACUGUUAUGAAUGCUGGAGUAUUAAAACACUGUUGAAUUGUACUUUUUCUUUACUUUCACAUACUGUGUGUACAUAAGCAUUGCUCGGAUCUUGUCCCCUGGACCUUGGGGGACUUUUGUGGAUGAUGUUCAGGGCCUACCAAAGUAAGGUUUCUCAAGCAACUGUGAGAUGUUUGUUUUGAUGAUGAUACUGAAAACAAAAUGCACGACGAGCUGUGUCCUGGGAAGCAGAUGUUCUUCUAAGGGACACCCUAGAGGCAGCAAGGUGAUGUGAACUCCAAACAUUUAAAGGCACUGUUCCCCUCCCUAGUGUAAUUGGGAUGGAAGGGGAAGACCGCAUUACAACCCUUAAAGAACUACAGUUGUAUGAUGGCCUGGAUGAAGAGAAAAAUGUUCUCCUCAAGGAACCAUUCAUGUUACAGAGAGAUUAUAAUUUGUUCUAUUUGGAGGCAGUUGACAACAAGAAAAUUACUGUCUUUGUCUUUUGAGGAGCAAAGCCAUUUUUGAGGAGUGGUCAAACUUUGUCUGCUGUGUUAAUUGUUUCAAUUGUUAAUUGUGUUAUGUUUAGUAAAGAUGACGUAGAAGUCACCCGAGUCUCUGAUCUCUUCACUGGAGCUGGUAUAACUUAAUGUACAAAGCACAUUCAGCUUGUCAGUAUGUCUAUAUGGUAUAGUCUGUCUCCAUUCUCAUGAGGAAAGUAAAUAACAUUAUAAAUCAGGAUGGGUAGUAACUGUGUGUAUAUGCUCAAUUAAAUAAUAUAAUUACAAAGUUAUAACAUUUAUCAACACAAUUUUAACAGUAAAUAACAAGUCUGCUGUUCACUGCAACUAUCAGUAGUUUGUCUCAAAUAUAGCAUGAAGCAAAAAGUGUUACAUCUGCUGGUACUUGUAAGAAAUAUUAUAUAAAUCUUCAAAAAUGAAAUAUGUUUGUAUUCAACUUGUGCCUUGCGCAAAUGUGUGUUACUGUCAAACAUCAGAUGGACAAAAAAAUGUGGGCAGGGUCAAAUGUGAGCAGAGUCAAACGUUUGACUCCACCCACAUUGAACCCAGCCCCGAAUUGCACACUGCAGUCAGGGGUACUUGGACUUGCUUGCUGGUUGAGAUUUCUGCUCUUCACUCCAUUGUCAGUUUAGCCUACAUUUCACUGAUCAUAGGAGCAGAAAUGGUUUUUUAUUUGUGUCCUUCAAGGCAGCUGUCAAUGAUCACGUUAGGCUGUGUUUCAUUUGAUUUGUUAUGGCGGUUUGAUCGCAGAGGAGACACUAGUAAUGUCUGCAGUUUUCGGUUUGUCAUUUUGUUUCAAAUGUAUUAGUCUAAUAAUAAAUCUCUUCGCCAAA
Oncorhynchus tshawytscha (Chinook salmon) is the source of this 1652-nucleotide long non-coding RNA. The record is from Ensembl. Lineage: Eukaryota; Metazoa; Chordata; Actinopteri; Salmoniformes; Salmonidae.